GGGGGUGAAAUGGUUUCGACGGGGGUAUUGCAGCAAGAUAAGCGAGCCGUAGUUUGCCAGUCUACGUAAAAAAGGGCAGAUUAAAUAUAAACGCAAACAACAAAACAAAUUACGCACUGGCAGCAUAGCCACUGCGCGUCAACUCCGAUUUACCUGUAGGUCGGAGACCUGGCGUCAAACAUACAGGAAAACUCUGUGUGAGCUCCUAGUAGCACAGAGGAACAAUAGGAUAGCUGAGGCCGUAGCCUGCUGAUGGGCGACGGACGAGGCGAAACAACAAAACAUCAGCUGCGCUCGGAGAAGGUCUUGUGGACAUACUUUCGGACGUGAGUUCGACUCUCACCACCUUCACCA
This 354-nucleotide transfer-messenger RNA is filed under the name Anaerovoracaceae. RNAcentral describes it as "JAAYHT01 sp012735285 Standard tmRNA". It matches the Rfam family "transfer-messenger RNA". Rfam says of the family: Bacterial tmRNA, also known as 10Sa RNA or SsrA, is named for its dual tRNA and mRNA-like properties. Its role is to liberate the mRNA from a stalled ribosome. The record is from RNAcentral. RNAcentral also lists the same sequence under 1 other name. Lineage: Bacteria; Bacillati; Bacillota; Clostridia; Peptostreptococcales.